RNAcentral lists this non-coding RNA (631 nucleotides) under Thermochaetoides thermophila DSM 1495. Its description in RNAcentral is "Chaetomium thermophilum var. thermophilum DSM 1495 Eukaryotic small subunit ribosomal RNA". It matches the Rfam family "Eukaryotic small subunit ribosomal RNA", at positions 1117 to 1831 of the family's 1831-position model. The record is from Rfam by way of RNAcentral. Lineage: Eukaryota; Fungi; Ascomycota; Sordariomycetes; Sordariales; Chaetomiaceae.
GGAGCAUGAUCAUAAGCCUGAAAAAAAAUUGACAGAAGGGCACCACCAGGCGUGGAGACUGUCUGUCCAGACAUGAUGAGAAUUGAAUUGACAGCUCGAGAGUUCUUUCUCGAUUUCGUGGAUAGUAGUACAUGGCCAUUCUUGGCCGUUGGAGUGAUUUGUCUGCUUAAUUGCUAUAAUGAACAAUACCAUAACCUGCUAAAUAGACCGUGAUGCUUUGGCAGUACGCCGGCUCCUUGAAGGGACUAUCGGUUCAAGCCGAUGGAAGUUUGAGAAAUUAAUAGGUCUGUGAUGCCCUUGGAUGUUCUGGGCUGCACGCGCGCUACAUUGACAGAGCCAGUGAGUACCCCCAUGGCCGAGAGGCCUAAGUAACCUUAUUAAACUCUGUCGUGCUGGGUAUAAAGCAUUGCAGCUGUUGCUCUUCAAAGGAGUAUCCCUAGUAAGUGUAAGUCAUCAACAUGUGUUUAUUAUACUCUGCUCUUUGUACACACCACUCACUGGUUGCUAUUGACUAAACAGCUCAGUGAAGGUUUUGCACUGGCCCAGGAAGGUUGGCAACGACCAUUCAGGGCCGGAAAGUUAUCCAAACUCAGAAAUAGCAUUGCUCUAUACCAAUUCUGUCUUUAGGCAG